RNAcentral lists this ribosomal RNA (87 nucleotides) under Candidatus Physcosoma equi. Lineage: Bacteria; Pseudomonadati; Spirochaetota; Spirochaetia; Spirochaetales; Sphaerochaetaceae. The record is from RNAcentral.
CCCGUUCCCAUCCCGAACACGGCAGUAAAACGCUCUCACGCCGAUGGUACUGCAGCUCGUCUGCGGGAGAGUAGGUCGCUGCCAGAU